RNAcentral lists this ribosomal RNA (1358 nucleotides) under Acinetobacter baumannii. Its description in RNAcentral is "partial 23S ribosomal RNA". It matches the Rfam family "Bacterial large subunit ribosomal RNA", at positions 1 to 1368 of the family's 2925-position model. The record is from RNAcentral. Lineage: Bacteria; Pseudomonadati; Pseudomonadota; Gammaproteobacteria; Moraxellales; Moraxellaceae.
GUUGUAUAGUCAAGUAAUUAAGUGCAUGUGGUGGAUGCCUUGGCAGUCAGAGGCGAUGAAAGACGUGAUAGCCUGCGAAAAGCUCCGGGGAGGCGGCAAAUAUCCUUUGAUCCGGAGAUGUCUGAAUGGGGGAACCCACCUACUUUAAGGUAGGUAUUGCAACAUGAAUACAUAGUGUUGCAAGGCGAACGAGGGGAAGUGAAACAUCUCAGUACCCUUAGGAAAAGAAAUCAAUUGAGAUUCCCUCAGUAGCGGCGAGCGAACGGGGAUCAGCCCAUUAAGUUAUGUGUGUUUUAGUGGAACGCUCUGGGAAGUGCGAACGUAGAGGGUGAUAUUCCCGUACACGAAAGGGCACACAUAAUGAUGACGAGUAGGGCGAGGCACGUGAAACCUUGUCUGAAUAUGGGGGGACCAUCCUCCAAGGCUAAAUACUCCUGACUGACCGAUAGUGAACCAGUACCGUGAGGGAAAGGCGAAAAGAACCCCUGUGAGGGGAGUGAAAUAGAUCCUGAAACCGCAUGCAUACAAGCAGUGGGAGCACCUUCGUGGUGUGACUGCGUACCUUUUGUAUAAUGGGUCAGCGACUUAUAUUCAGUAGCGAGGUUAACCGUAUAGGGGAGCCGUAGAGAAAUCGAGUCUUAAUAGGGCGUUUAGUUGCUGGGUAUAGACCCGAAACCAGGCGAUCUAUCCAUGAGCAGGUUGAAGGUUGGGUAACACUAACUGGAGGACCGAACCCACUGUCGUUGAAAAGCCAGGGGAUGACUUGUGGAUAGGGGUGAAAGGCUAAUCAAGCCUGGUGAUAGCUGGUUCUCCCCGAAAGCUAUUUAGGUAGCGCCUCGGACGAAUACCAUAGGGGGUAGAGCACUGUUUCGGCUAGGGGGUCAUCCCGACUUACCAAACCGAUGCAAACUCCGAAUACCUAUGAGUACUAUCCGGGAGACAGACUGCGGGUGCUAACGUCCGUAGUCAAGAGGAAAACAAUCCAGACCGCCAGCUAAGGCCCCAAAAUCAUAGUUAAGUGGGAAACGAUGUGGGAAGGCAUAGACAGCUAGGAGGUUGGCUUAGAAGCAGCCACCCUUUAAAGAAAGCGUAAUAGCUCACUAGUCGAGUCGGCCUGCGCGGAAGAUGUAACGGGGCUAAAACUAUGUGCCGAAGCUGCGGAUNNNNNNNNNNNNNNNNNNNNNNNNNNNNNNNNNNNNUUGACAUUAGUCAAGUGGUAGGGGAGCGUUCUGUAAGCCGAUGAAGGUGUAUUGAGAAGUAUGCUGGAGGUAUCAGAAGUGCGAAUGCUGACGUGAGUAACGACAAAACGGGUGAAAAACCCGUUCGCCGAAAGACCAAGGGUUCCAGUCCAACGUUAA